CCUACGGGAGACAGCAGUGAGGAAUAUUGGUCAAUGGACGAGAGUCUGAACCAGCCAAGUAGCGUGAAGGAUGACUGCCCUAUGGGUUGUAAACUUCUUUUAUAUGGGAAUAAAACGUUCCACGUGUGGGAUUUUGUAUGUACCCUAUGAAUAAGGAUCGGCUAACUCCGUGCCAGCAGCCGCGGUAAUACGGAGGAUCCGAGCGUUAUCCGGAUUUAUUGGGUUUAAAGGGAGCGUAGGUGGAUUGUUAAGUCAGGUGUGAAAGUUUGCGGCUCAACCGUAAAAUUGCAGUUGAAACUGGCAGUCUUGAGUACAGUAGAGGUGGGCGGAAUUCGUGGUGUAGCGGUGAAAUGCUUAGAUAUCACGAAGAACUCCGAUUGCGAAGGCAGUUCACUGGACUGCAACUGACACUGAGGCUCGAAAGUGUGGGUAUCAAACAGGAUUAGAUACCCCUGUAGUC
Molecule: ribosomal RNA, 460 nt
Filed under: uncultured bacterium
Lineage: Bacteria
Description: partial 16S ribosomal RNA
Rfam family: Bacterial small subunit ribosomal RNA
Source: RNAcentral